RNAcentral lists this transfer RNA (77 nucleotides) under Pseudomonas sp. Its description in RNAcentral is "tRNA-Met". It matches the Rfam family "tRNA". From Rfam's summary of the family: Transfer RNA (tRNA) molecules are approximately 80 nucleotides in length. Lineage: Bacteria; Pseudomonadati; Pseudomonadota; Gammaproteobacteria; Pseudomonadales; Pseudomonadaceae. The record is from RNAcentral. RNAcentral also lists the same sequence under 16 other names.
CGCGGGAUGGAGCAGUCUGGUAGCUCGUCGGGCUCAUAACCCGAAGGUCGCAGGUUCAAAUCCUGCUCCCGCAACCA